This 696-nucleotide ribosomal RNA is filed under the name Triticum aestivum (bread wheat). RNAcentral's name for it is "partial small subunit ribosomal RNA". The record is from RNAcentral. Lineage: Eukaryota; Viridiplantae; Streptophyta; Magnoliopsida; Poales; Poaceae.
AUGGCAGCAUUCCACAAAUUCCAUCAACUGGCUGGUCAGAACUUCACCGAGAUCAAUACUGCGCUCAUCGGCCUGUUGCCUAAAAAGAACGGAGCAAGUCAACUGGGUCACUACAGACCAAUCGGCCUCAUUCACUCUGUGGCAAAGCCCAUUUCCAAGGUCCUCUCCAUCAAGCUGGCUGGUGCUCUCAGAAACACCAUCUCCCCGGUGCAAUCUGGUUUUCAAAAGGGCAAAUGUAUUCAUGACAGCUAUCUAUACGUUCAAAGUUGCAUCAAGAUGUUGCACCAUCACAAGAAAAGCGCUCUGUUUUUCAAGCUGGAUAUCGCCAAAGCAUUCAAUUCCAUCUGCUGGGAAUACAUGCUCGAACUCAUGCAGCAGAUGGGUUUUCCAUCUAAAUGGAGGGAUUGGAUGGCGCCGAUGUUCAGCUCUGCCUCUCCUUCCUGCCUCCUCAAUGGCAUCAUGGGACCCUCCUUCAAGCACGGCAAGGGGCUGAGGCAAGGCGACUCCCUCUCCCAUCUGCUGUUCAUCAUGGCGAUCGACCCUCUCCACUGGCUGCUGGAAGCUGCCGGCGAUCGUGGCGUGCUGGCCCCCCUUCCGGGUCGCGGAAUGAAUUUGAGGAUAAGCCUUUAUCGGACGAUGCAGUCAUUUUCGCAAAUCCAAUCAAGGAAGAAGUGGACAACUUGCUUCAGCUGCUGA